Molecule: ribosomal RNA, 468 nt
Filed under: uncultured bacterium
Lineage: Bacteria
Description: partial 16S ribosomal RNA
Rfam family: Bacterial small subunit ribosomal RNA
Source: RNAcentral
GACGAACGCUGGCGGCGUGCUUAACACAUGCAAGUCGAACGGAAAGGCCCUGCUUUUGUGGGGUGCUCGAGUGGCGAACGGGUGAGUAACACGUGAGUAACCUGCCCUUGACUUUGGGAUAACUUCAGGAAACUGGGGCUAAUACCGGAUAGGAGCUCCUGCUGCAUGGUGGGGGUUGGAAAGUUUCGGCGGUUGGGGAUGGACUCGCGCCUUAUCAGCUUGUUGGUGGGGUAGUGGCUUACCAAGGCUUUGACGGGUAGCCGGCCUGAGAGGGUGACCGGCCCCAUUGGGACUGAGAUACGGCCCAGACUCCUACGGGAGGCAGCAGUGGGGAAUAUUGCACAAUGGGCGGAAGCCUGACGCAGCAACGCCGCGUGCGGGAUGACGGCCUUCGGGUUGUAAACCGCUUUCGCCUGUGACGAAGCGUGAGUGACGGUAAUGGGUAAAGAAGCACCGGCUAACUACGUG